GCGGCGCUCGCCUCCUCCUCCCGCUUCCUCGCCUGCUUCCGCGAUAUGGACCGGUACCGGAUCUUCAGCGUCCCCGGCGGCGUCCGCGGCGGCGCCGCCGGUUUCCCCUCCGAGACGCCGCUGCCGUUGCCGGCGCCGCCGCCGCCGCCCUCCUCCUCCAGGGGGCCAUCGCCGGCCGUGGCGCUGACAGGCCGCCGGCGGAGGGCGACAGUGCGCGGCGGCGGCGGCGGCGCUCGAGCUCUCAGGGAACGGCUGCUGCCCUGCGGCGGCGAGAAGAGGGAGGAGGAUUCCGGUGGGAGCGGCGGCGAGAACAUCUUGGCCUCCAUCUCUUC
RNAcentral lists this long non-coding RNA (332 nucleotides) under Spirodela polyrhiza (greater duckweed). RNAcentral's name for it is "long non-coding RNA (SPOL_LNC001042)". The record is from RNAcentral. Lineage: Eukaryota; Viridiplantae; Streptophyta; Magnoliopsida; Alismatales; Araceae.